This 174-nucleotide ribosomal RNA is filed under the name uncultured bacterium. RNAcentral's name for it is "partial 16S ribosomal RNA". It matches the Rfam family "Bacterial small subunit ribosomal RNA", at positions 1327 to 1500 of the family's 1533-position model. The record is from RNAcentral.
UGGAAUCGCUAGUAAUCGCAGAUCAGAAUGCUGCGGUGAAUACGUUCCCGGGUCUUGUACACACCGCCCGUCACACCAUGGGAGUUGGAAAUGCCCGAAGCCAGUGACCCAACCGUAAGGAGGGAGCUGUCGAAGGUGGAGCCGAUGACUGGGGUAAAGUCGUAACAAGGUAGC